GCCCAGCACAUAUGAUAGCCUACUUUAUUUCAGACUGUUCACAUUUCAAGGAGUGGGCUGGGGAUGUAGCUGUGUGGUUGAGCAGUUGCCUAGCAGCAAGGCCCUGGGAAGGGAGAGAGAGAGAGAUAGUAAUCUAAGCGGUGGGCACCAGGGUUUUGUUGUUGCUGUUUUUCCGAGCUGGACUCACUGUGUAGCCAACGACUGCCUGGAAUUCCGGGCGCAGGCCGGCCUACGAGCUUGCUGUGCUCUUUAGCCUGCAGCUGGUCCUGCUACACAGAUCUGCAGUUCCAGCUCUGAGCCUCCCUCCUCUAUUCGUUUCCCCUCCCCUCCAUCCUUCCUGUCGCUCCUAUUUCAUGUCUUAUUUUUUGAUUCCUUAGGAAUUGAGACAGACGUUCACCUGCCAACACUCUUCAGCUUCCCACAGAUGUGUCUGAGGAAACCCAAGGUGAGCUGUCUGUCUCCACAGAGCGCAAGGGGAGGGCUUGACAGGCCCUUUCUCCUUUGUUGGCAGCAUUCCUGGCAGUUGCCAAGACUUGCCAGGUUUUCACAGCAGUUUCACUUUGCCCUGGACGUAGGCUAGUGGCCAAUAGGCUCUUCUUCCUUCAAGAGUCGCUGGGCAUGAAGUUAAUUUGAUACCCAAAGUAGGAGGUCUCACAGGAUUAUUCACGGAAGAGGCUGCGUGUCUCUGAGUGUCCUGGAAAACUGCUUCAGCGGAAGAAAGCCUCAAGAGGAAGGCUCUGAGAUGAAAGGGACAGUUAGUUUUCAGACCCAAAUUUACCAGAAGUCAUUUCUUCUUUAUUUGCAUUUCCUCUCCUUAUCAAACAAAGUAACACACCCACAUAUGUCCAAACACACACCUGCGCAUGCAUUCGCAAUCGAGAGAACACACACACACACACACACACACACACACACACACACACACACACACACACAUGCACGCACUCGUCACACGGUGGUUUGUGCAGUUGCUAUGA
Molecule: long non-coding RNA, 977 nt
Filed under: Mus musculus (house mouse)
Lineage: Eukaryota; Metazoa; Chordata; Mammalia; Rodentia; Muridae
Description: long non-coding RNA chr12:55463992-55464969
Source: RNAcentral